This 478-nucleotide ribosomal RNA is filed under the name uncultured bacterium. RNAcentral's name for it is "partial 16S ribosomal RNA". It matches the Rfam family "Bacterial small subunit ribosomal RNA", at positions 28 to 523 of the family's 1533-position model. The record is from RNAcentral.
GACGAACGCUGGCGGCGUGCUUAACACAUGCAAGUCGAACGGUAAGGCCCCUCGGGGUACACGAGUGGCGAACGGGUGAGUAACACGUGGGUGAUCUGCCCUGCACUUCGGGAUAAGCCUGGGAAACUGGGUCUAAUACCGGAUAGGACCACUGCCUGCAUGGGUGGUGGUGGAAAGCUUUUGCGGUGUGGGAUGGGCCCGCGGCCUAUCAGCUUGUUGGUGGGGUGAUGGCCUACCAAGGCGACGACGGGUAGCCGGCCUGAGAGGGUGACCGGCCACACUGGGACUGAGAUACGGCCCAGAGUCCUACGGGAGGCAGCAGUGGGGAAUAUUGCACAAUGGGCGCAAGCCUGAUGCAGCGACGCCGCGUGAGGGAUGACGGCCUUCGGGUUGUAAACCUCUUUCAGCACCGACGAAGCGCAAGUGACGGUAGGUGCAGAAGAAGGACCGGCCAACUACGUGCCAGCAGCCGCUGUAA